UACGUAGGGUGCGAGCGUUGUCCGGAAUUAUUGGGCGUAAAGAGCUUGUAGGCGGUUUGUCGCGUCUGCUGUGAAAAUCCGGGGCUCAACCCCGGACUUGCAGUGGGUACGGGCAGACUAGAGUGUGGUAGGGGAGACUGGAAUUCCUGGUGUAGCGGUGAAAUGCGCAGAUAUCAGGAGGAACACCGAUGGCGAAGGCAGGUCUCUGGGCAACAACUGACGCUGAGGAACGAAAGCCAGGGGAGCGAACGGG
Molecule: ribosomal RNA, 253 nt
Filed under: uncultured bacterium
Lineage: Bacteria
Description: partial 16S ribosomal RNA
Rfam family: Bacterial small subunit ribosomal RNA
Source: RNAcentral